This 319-nucleotide unclassified non-coding RNA is filed under the name Melitaea cinxia (Glanville fritillary). Its description in RNAcentral is "misc RNA ENSMCXG00005011324.1". The record is from RNAcentral. Lineage: Eukaryota; Metazoa; Arthropoda; Insecta; Lepidoptera; Nymphalidae.
GCGCGCAGCUGCUGGCGGCGGCGGGCGCGCUGGCCGACCUGCUGCUGGCGGAGGCGGCGCCGCUCGCCGACCACCUCUACGACAAGCUGCGCCGCGACAUCGUGCAGCCCUACGUGGACGAAGGUCAGAUUGAGCGCGCCGCGGUGCUAGCGGAGAAGUUCAAGGAUUUCGACCUGCUCAUAGAGCUGUGCGUGAAGCGGGGAGACAUGGAGCGGCUGUACGGGUACAUCGACAAGUACAAGGAGGAGGGCAUCGCGGAGCGCGCGCUGGCGUGGCUGUGGUCGCGCGACGGCGCGGCGCGCGCGCUGCUGCUGCGCGG